RNAcentral lists this long non-coding RNA (5829 nucleotides) under Homo sapiens (human). RNAcentral's name for it is "non-protein coding lnc-FKBP1B-2:1". Lineage: Eukaryota; Metazoa; Chordata; Mammalia; Primates; Hominidae. The record is from RNAcentral.
CUCACUGGGACUGGUUUGACAGUGGGUGCAGCCCACGGAUGGGGAGCUGAAGCAGGGCAGGGCGUCACCUCACCCUGGAAGUGCAAGGGGUCAGGGGAUUUCCCUUUCCUAGCCAAGGGAAGCCGUGACAGACUACCUGGAAAAAUGGGACACUCCUGCCCAAAUACUGCACUUUUCCCAAGAUCUUAGCCACCGGCAGACAAGGAGAUUCUCUCCCAUGCCUGGCUCGGCGGGUUCCACACCCACGGAGCCUUGCUCACUGCUAGUGCAGCAGUCUGAGAUCGAACUGUGAGGCGGCAGCCUGGCUGGGGGAGGGGCGUCCGCUGUUGCUGAGGCUUGAGUAGGUAAACAAAGCAGCCGGGAAGUUCGAACUGGGCAGAGCCCACUGCAGCUCAGUAAGGCCUACUGCCUCUAGACUCCAUCUCUGUGGCCAGGGCAUAGCUGAACAAAAGGCAGCAGACAACUUUUGCAGACUUAAAGGUCCCUGUCUGACAGCUCUGAAGAGAGCAUUGGUUCUCUCAGCACGGUGUUUGAGCUCUGAGAACGGACAGACUGCCUCCUUAAGUGGGUCCCUCACCCCCAUGUAGCCUAACUAGGAGAUACCUCCCAGGAGGGGCCGACAGACACCUCAUAUAGGCACCUGCCUCUCUGGGACGAAGCUUCCAGAGGAAGGAUCAGGAAGUAGUAUUUGCUGUUCUGCAAUAUUUGCUGUUCUGCAGCCUCCGCUGGUGAUACCCAGGAAAACAGGGUCUGGGGUGGACCUCCAGCAAACUCCAACCGACCUGCAGCUGAGGGACCUGACAGUUAGAAGGAAAACUGAAAAACAGAAAGGAAUAGCAUCAACAUCACCAAAAAGGUCAUCUACACCAAAACCCCAUCUGUAGGUCACCAACAUCAAAGACCAAAGGUAGAUAAAACCACAAAGAUGGGGAGAAACCAGAGCAGAAAAGCUGAAAAUUCUAAAAAUCAGAGUGCCUCUUCUCCUCCAAAGGAUCGCAACUCCUCGCCAGCAAAGAGACAAAGCUGGAUGGAGAAUGACUUUGACAAGUCGACAGAAGUAGGCUUCAGAAGGUUGGUAAAAACAAACUUCUCCGAGCUAAAGGAGGACGUUUGAACCCAUCGCAAGGAAGUAAAACCCUUGAAAAAAGAUUAGACGAAUGGCUAACUGGAAUAAACAGUGUAGAGAAUACCUUAAAUGACCUGAUGGAGCUGAAAACCACGGCACAAGAACUUCGUGACACAUGCACAACCUUCAAUAGCCGAUUCGAUCAAGUGGAAGAAAGGGUAUCAGUGAUUGAAGAUCAAAUUAAUGAAAUAAAGCAAAUAAGACAAGGUUACAGGAAAAAGAGUAAAAAGACAUGAACAAAGCCUCCAAGACAAAUGGGACUAUGUGAAAAGACCAAAUCUAUGUUUGAUUGGUGUACCUGGAAGUGAUGGGGAGAAUGGAACCAACUUGGAAAACACUCUUCAGGAUAUUAUCCAGGAGAACUUCCCCAACCUAGCAAGGCAGGCCAACAUUCAAAUUCAGAAAAUACAGAGAACACCACAAAGAUACUCCUUGAGAAGAGCAACCCCAAGACACAUAAUUGUCAGAUUCACCAAGGUUGAAAUGAAGGAAAAAGUGUUAAGGGCAGCCAAAGAGAAAGGUUGAGUUACCCACAAAGGGACGCCCAUCAGACUAACAGUGGAUCUCUCUGCAGAAACCCUACAAGAAGAGAGUGGGGGCCAAUAUUCAACAUUCUUAAAGAAUUUUCAACCCAGAAUUUCAUAUCUAGCCAAACUAAGCUUCAUAAGUAAAGGAAAAAUAAAAUCCUUUACAGACAAGCAAAUGCUGAGAGAUUUUGUCACCACCAGGCCUGCCUUACGAGAGCUCCUAAAGGAAGCACUAAACAUGGAAAGGAACAACUGGUACCAGCCACUGCAAAAACAUGCCAAAUUGUAAAGACCAUCGAUGCUAUGAAGAAACUGCAUGAAUUAACGGGCAAAAUAACCAGCGAACAUCAUAAUGACAGGAUCAAAUUCACACAUAACGAUAUUAACCUUAAAUGUAAAUGGGCUAAAUGCCCCAAUUAAAAGACACAGACUGGCAAAUUGGAUAAAGAGUCAAGACCCAUCAAUGUGCUGUAUUCAGGAGACCCAGCUCAUGUGCAAAGACACACAUAGACUAAAAUAAAGGGAUGGAGGAAGAUAUACCAAGCAAAUGGAAAGCAAAAAAAAAAAAAAAAAAAAGCAGGGGUUGCAAUCCUAUUCUCUGAUAAAACAGACUUUAAACCAACAAAGAUCAAAAGAGACAAGGCCAUUACAUAAUGGUAAAGGGAUCAAUUCGCCAAGAAGAGCUAACUAUCCUAAAUAUAUAUGCACCCAAUACAGGAGCACCCAGAUUCAUAAAGCAAGUCCUUUGAGACCUACAAAGAAACUUAGACUUGCACACAAUAAUAAUGGGAGACUUUAACACCCCACUGUCAAUAUUAGACAGAUCAACGAGACAGAAGGUUAACAAGGAUAUCCAGGACUUGAACUCAGCCCUGCAACAAGCAGACCUAAUAGACAUCUACAUAACUCUCCACCCCAAAUCAAUAGAAUAUACAUUCUUCUCAGCAUCACAUCACACUUAUUCUAAAAUUGACCACAUAAUUGGAAGUAAAGCACUCCUCAGCAAAUGUAAAAGAACAGAAAUCACAACAAACUGUCUCUCAGACCACAGUGCAAUCAAAUUAGAACUCAGGAUUAAGAAACUCACUCAAAUCCACACAACUACAUGGAAACUGAACAACCUGCUCCUGAAUGACUACUGGAUACAUAACGAAAUGAAGGCAGAAAUAAAGAUGUUCUUUGAAACCAAUGAGAACAAAGACACAACGUACCAGAAUCUCUGGGACACGUUUAAAGCAGUGUGUAGAGGGAAAUUUAUAGCACUAAACACCCACAAGAGAAAGCAGGAAAGAUCUAAAAUUGACACCCUAAAAUCACAAUUAAAAGAACUAAAGAAGCAAGAGCAAACAAAUUCAAAAGCUAGCAGAAGGCAAGAAAUAACUGAGAUCAGAGCAGAGAUGAAAGAGAUAGAGACACGAAAACCCUUCAAAAAAAUCAAGGAGUCCAGGAGCUGGUUUUUUGAAAAGAUCAACAAAAUUGAUAGACUGCUAGCAAGACUAAUAAAGAAGAAGAGAGAAGAAUCAAAUAGAUGCAAUAAAAAAUGAUAAAGGGGAUAUCACCACCAAUCCCACAGAAAUACAAACUACCAUCAGAGAAUACUAUAAACACUUCUUUGCAAAUAAACUAGAAAAUCUAGAAGAAAUGGAUAAAUUCCUGGAAACAUACACCCACCCAAGACUAAACCAGGAAGAAGUUGAACCUCUGAAUAGACCAAUAACAGGCUCUGAAAUUGAGGCAAUAAUUAAUAGCCUACCAACCAAAAAAAGUCCAGGACCAGAUAGAUUCACAGCCAAAUUCUACCAGAGGUACAAAGAGGAGCUGGUACCAUUCCUUCUGAAACUAUUCCAAUCAAUAGAAAAAGAGGGAAUCCUCCCUAACUCAUUUCAUGAGGCCAACAUCAUCCUUAUGCCAAAGCCUGGCAGAGACACAACAAAAAAAGAGAAUUUUAGACCAAUAUCCCUGAUGAACAUCAAUGCGAAAAUCCUCAAUAAAAUACUGGCAAACCAAAUCCAGCAGCACAUCAAAAAGCUUAUCAACCAUGAUCAAGUUGGCUUCAUCCCUGGGAUGCAAGGCUGGUUCAACAUACACAAAUCAAUAAAUGUAAUUCAUCACAUAAAGAGAACCAAUGACAAAAACCACAUGAUUAUCUCAAUAGAUGCAGGAAAGGCCUUCAACAAAAUUCAACAGUGCUUCAUGCUAAAAACUCUCAAUAAACUAAAUAUUCAUGGAGUGUAUCUCAAAAUAAUAAGAGCUAUUUAUGACAACCCCCAGCCAAUAUCAUACUGAAUGGGGAAAAACUGGAAGCAUUCCCUUUGAAAACUGGCAUAAGACAAGGAUUCCACUCCUACGCAACAUAGUGUUGGAAGUUCUGGCCAGGGCAAUCAGGCAAGAGAAGGAAAUAAAGGGUAUUCAAUCAGGAAAUGAGGAAGUCAAAUUGUCCCUGUUUGCAGAUGACAUGAUUGUAUAUUUAGAAAACCCCAUCGUCUCAGCCCAAAAUCUCCUUAAGCUGAUAAGCAACUUCAGCAAAGUCUCAGGAUACAAAAUCAGUGUGCAAAAAUCACAAGCAUUCCUAUACGCCAUUAACAGACAGAGAGCCAAAUUAUGAGUGAACUCCCAGUCACAAUUGCUACAAAGAGAAUAAAAUACCUAGGAAUCCAACUUACAAGGGAUGUGAAGGACCUCUUCAAGGAGAACUACAAACCACUGCUCAACGAAAUAAAAGAGGACACAAACAAAUGGAAGAAUAUUUCAUUCUCAUGGAUAGGAAGAAUCAAUAUCAUGAAAAUGGCCACACUGCCCAAAGUAUUUAUAGAUUCAAUGCCAUCCCCAUCAAGCUACCAAUGACUUUCUUCACAGAAUUGGAAAAAACUACUUUAAAGAUCAUAUGGAACCAAAAAAGAACCCCCCAUUACCAAGACAAUCCUAAGCAAAAAGAACAAAGCUGGAGGCAUCAAGCUACCUGACUUCAAACUAUACUACAAGGCUACAGUAACCAAAACAGCACGGUACUGGUACCAAAACAGAUACAUAGACCAAUGGAACAGAAAAGAGGCCUCAGAAAUAACACCACACAUCUACAACCAUCUGAUCUUUGACAAACCUGACAAAUACAAGCAAUGGGGAAAGGAUUCCCUAUUUAAUAAAUGGUGCUGGGAAAACUGGCUAGCCAUAUGUAGAAAGCUGAGACUGGAUCCCUUCCUUACACCUUAUAAAAAAUUAAUUCAAGAUGGAUUAAAGACUUAAAUGUUAGACCUAAAACCAUAAAAACCCUAGAAGAAAACCUAGGCAAUACCAUUCAGGACGUAGGCAUGGGCAAGGACUUCAUGACUAAAACACCAAAAGCAAUGGCAACAAAAGCCAAAAUUGACAAAAGGGAUCUAAUUAAACGAAAGAGCUUCUGCAUGGCAAAAGAAACUACCAUCAGAGUGAACAGGCAACCUACAGAAUGGGAGAAAAUUUUUGCAAUCUGCCCAUCUGACAAAGGGCUAAUAUCCAGAAUCUACAAAUAACUCAAACAAAUUUACAAGAAAAAAAAUCCCAUCAAAAAGUGGGUGAAGGAUAUGAACAGACACUUCUCAAAAGAAGACAUCCAUGCAGCCAACAGACACAUGAAAAAAUGCUCAUCAUCACUGGUCAUCAGAGAAAUGCAAAUCAAAACCACAAUGAGAUACCAUCUUGUGCCAGUUAAAAUGGCAAUCAUUAAAAAGUCAGGAAACAACAGAUGCUGGAGAGGAUGUGGAGAAAUAGGAAUGCUUUUACACUGUUGGUGGGAGUGUAAAUUAGUUCAACCAUUGUGGAAGGCAGUGUGGCAAUUCCUCAAGGAUCUAGAACUAGAAUUAUCAUUUGACCCAGCAAUCCCAUUACUGGGUAUAUACCCAAAGGAUCAUAAAUCAUGCUACUAUAAAGACAUAUGCACACGUAUGUUUAUUGUGGCACUAUUCACAAUAGCAAAGACUUGGAACCAACCCAAAUGUCCAUCAAUGAUAGACUGGAAUAAGAAAAUGUGGCACAUAUACACCAUGGAAUACUAUGCAGCCAUAAAAAAGGAUGAGUUCAUGUCCUUUGCAGGGACAUGGACGAAGGUGGAAACCAUCAUUCUCAGUAAGUUAUCACAAGGACAGAAAACCAAAUAGUGCAUGUUUUCACUCAUAGGUGGGAAUUGUACAAUGAGAUCAC